UGCCAGCCGCCGCGGUAAUACAGAGGUCCCGAGCGUUGUUCGGAUUUACUGGGCGUAAAGGGUGCGUAGGCGGUUGUGUAAGUCAGAUGUGAAAUCCCCGGGCUCAACCUGGGAACUGCAUUUGAGACUGCACGGCUAGAGUGUGACAGAGGGGGGUAGAAUUCCACGUGUAGCAGUGAAAUGCGUAGAGAUGUGGAGGAAUACCGAUGGCGAAGGCAGCCCCCUGGGUUACUACUGACGCUCAUGCACGAAAGCGUGGGGAGCAAACAGGAUUAGAUA
Molecule: ribosomal RNA, 279 nt
Filed under: uncultured bacterium
Lineage: Bacteria
Description: partial 16S ribosomal RNA
Rfam family: Bacterial small subunit ribosomal RNA
Source: RNAcentral